Molecule: long non-coding RNA, 600 nt
Organism: Nymphaea colorata (pocket water lily)
Lineage: Eukaryota; Viridiplantae; Streptophyta; Magnoliopsida; Nymphaeales; Nymphaeaceae
Exons: 3
Source: RefSeq, a predicted model, not a curated record
CCGACCUCGGACUUUCGAGUGGGUGGAAUUUCACCCGCUCGACGCCCUCCCCCCGCGCUCGACACCCUUCUCCCCCGCUCAACCUGUAAACGCCCCCUUUCUCCUCCUCCUCGCAUUCUAGCAUAUCUCCGUCCUCACCGGCAGAAAAAAGGGACGCAGUGGAGAGGAAGGGCCAGAGCUCCCACCAUCGCCGCUCCGCCAGUUUGCCAAUGCCAUAGUCACUGUUCCUCCACUGGUCCAUCGUUCGUCAUCGCCACAUUGGAGCCCUUGUCCAUUUCUCACUGGCAGGGAAGAGGGUUGCAGUAGGCGUGCAGGCCAGAGCUCCCACCGUCGUCACAUUAAACAGCCGGUUCACCAUUGCCACAGCAGGGUUUUUUGAAACAAGAAAGGGAUGCUAUGGAACAGGAGUUGUGGAGACUGAAUCUUGUGCAAUCCAAAGUCUAUUGGAACAUGCUCCAAUGCCAGUGUGUAUCCAUUGCUUGCAAUUUUAAAGGCCAAGUGGACUAGUUCUUGUAUCCCCUCCAUUCUCUCUCUUUCUAUAUAUAUAUAUUUAUACAAUAAUUUUGCAUUUGCAAUGUUUACUAAGUAAGUGCAUGUAGG